CAGUAGCCGCGGGAAUACGUAGGUGGCAAGCGUUGCUCGGAAUGACUGGGCGUAAAGGGCGCGUAGGCGGAUCACGCAGUCAGAUGUGAAAUUCCUGGGCUUAACCUGGGGGCUGCAUUUGAGACGCGUGGUCUAGAGUGUGAAAGAGGGUCGUGGAAUUCCCAGUGUAGAGGUGAAAUUCGUAGAUAUUGGGAAGAACACCGGUGGCGAAGGCGGCGACCUGGUUCAUGACUGACGCUGAGGCACGAAAGCGUGGGGAGCAAACAGGAUUAGAUACCCGAGUAGUCCCUGUCUCUUAUAU
This 301-nucleotide ribosomal RNA is filed under the name uncultured bacterium. RNAcentral's name for it is "partial 16S ribosomal RNA". It matches the Rfam family "Bacterial small subunit ribosomal RNA", at positions 509 to 809 of the family's 1533-position model. The record is from RNAcentral.